RNAcentral lists this long non-coding RNA (1961 nucleotides) under Homo sapiens (human). Its description in RNAcentral is "HSALNT0039696". The record is from RNAcentral. Lineage: Eukaryota; Metazoa; Chordata; Mammalia; Primates; Hominidae.
CGCCCCUCUCCCCGGAAGAAUGGGGGCCUCUGCUCACACCAGAUUGGUCGGACGGCAUCACGUGACCUCAUCUCUUGGACUCGCUUGCUAUUCCCGAAAAGGGGGAAAGGAUUUGGGGGGGACAAUCGCGGAGCCUCUCGCUGGCUUUAGGGAGAGAGGGCUGGGGUAGAGGAGAGCCCCAGGGAGCAGGCAGAGGUGGGUUGGCUAGGGCCUUGUGUGACUUGGGCUGAGAAACUUCACUUAUUCCCUGGCGCUGGCAGUUGUCAAACUGGGUCUUGUAGAUGCUAAGUCUCCAUAGAGGUAUCGUAGGAUAUUCUUUCUGGGAGCCCUGAGCCCAUCUAACCUCCAGUUCGUCCAUCAACUGAUUACUGCUCAGUCACCUCAGAUGAUACCACUGGGAGCCAGAGAACUGCCUAGCUGUGCCCUGCCUGAAUGUCUGACUCAUCACUCAUGGUGGAUGACCUUUUUCCUGAAGAAACUGCUGCAGAAUGAAAGCUCCAGGCGCUUGGGUGCAGCAAGUAGGCUAUGCAUUUCCCACCAGCAGGAAUCUAGCUCCUGGCCAAGGUGAGCCACGCAGAGCAGCAGCCACGGGUAUCAUCCUCCCAGGAGGCAGAUCCCAAUUCGCGGAGAAGACCCGGCCAGCGGGAGGAUGCCAGCCUCAUCCUCAAGGCUGGGAUUGGGACUCUUUCCAGAAGGAACGACCUCUGUGCUUGAGUUGGUUGGGGGGCGCAAUGGAUUCUUUAACACUGGGGAAAUUCAUACAGAUGAAAGUGAGAGACACAUGACAGUGAACUGUAAACAUCAGCCAGGUCUUAGAAACGCUGGGGGAGGGACACACAAACCUUGUGAGAAGAAAAAUAAGCUUUUGUGGAAGUGAGGUUUGGAGGCCAAGAGUCCUUUAAGCGUCUUAAAGGAUCCACUGUGCAUCCUUUGUUAGUGGUGGGUGUGCUUCCUCCAACACUAGCCUUUGGUUUACUUUUAUGUGCCACUGGAUUCUGUUGCUCCAGGGAUACCAGGCUCUUUAGAAGCCAUUCUAGCAGCUGGUCUCUGCUUGGGAAUGUACAAGUGUUGGCUCUGGGACAUGUAAUCGCCUGUGCCUCCUGAUGUGGUUUCCAAGCAUCCACUGAGGUUUCUUUCACUUUGGGGGAAAAGAUGAGAGGCCCUGUGCUUAAACAAUUUGGAAGCAGAAAUCCAAACACCAGGGACCUGAGUGCAGCAAGGGCAGGGUCCUGGGAGGGCCUCUCCAGAAACCGCUCUCCUUCUGGAGGGAGGAUGGGGUCAUCUUUGCUGAGCAGAAGGCAGCGAUGGUUUCCUUUUAGAUGCUGUGGGUGCCCCUGUCAGCAAGAACCCCAGUUGUGGCCUCAGGGGUGGGGAGGAGAGCUCUUUCAGUGUUGCCUUAGGUGUGUGUCUGUGUGUGUCCUAACCCAGUCCUUCCCACACUCCCCCACGUGCUGAUCACGACGAGCACCUCUAAGGCUGGGUCUUUGCAUUAGAAAGUUAUUUGUUAGGGGUACAGGGGGCAAAGAAGGCACCUGGCACUCAUCCUCACCUCCAACUCCCAUGCUUGGGCAGGAUGUCUUUGUCCCUGAGUGAGGUGACGAGCUUUGCUGGCCCCACAGUCUUACCUGCCUGGUCGGGUGAGCCAAGGGGGACCCUGUCCAUGAUGUCUGGGCCAAGAUGUCCCUGUUGGCGACCCUGGAGGGUCCUCUGUCCUGCUGCUGCUCCUGUGGUCACGUAGGGGGUCUGCUCCUCAUGGACCCACCACCCCCGUGUAGUUGUAAUGCAAGUGAGGGGUUCUAAUUUUGUCAGCUUUAUCUUAGUGAAAUAAAGGUUAAUAUCACAGAACCGAAAACAAAGCUUCUGCUCAUUACUAGGGAGUUUCAGCUACUCCCUUUCCGCAAAACAAUAAAUCCAAUCUUAACAUUUUCAGCUUUCUCAUGAUUCUCACUCUCCCUUCUCAG